ACGGAAGGCAGCAGUGGGGAAUAUUGCACAAUGGAGGAAACUCUGAUGCAGCGACGCCGCGUGAAGGAAGAAGGUCUUCGGAUUGUAAACUUCUGUUGUCAGGGACGAUAAUGACGGUACCUGACGAGAAAGCCACGGCUAACUACGUGCCAGCAGCCGCGGUAAAACGUAGGUGGCAAGCGUUGUCCGGAAUUACUGGGUGUAAAGGGAGCGCAGGCGGAUUGACAAGUUGGAGGUGAAAUUCAUGGGCUCAACCCAUGACCUGCCUUCAAAACUGUCAAUCUUGAGUGGUGUAGAGGUAGGCGGAAUUCCCGGUGUAGCGGUGGAAUGCGUAGAUAUCGGGAGGAACACCAGUGGCGAAGGCGGCCUACUGGGCACUAACUGACGCUGAGGCUCGAAAGCAUGGGUAGCAAACAGGAUUAGAUACCCUGGUA
This 434-nucleotide ribosomal RNA is filed under the name uncultured bacterium. Its description in RNAcentral is "bacterial SSU rRNA". It matches the Rfam family "Bacterial small subunit ribosomal RNA", at positions 341 to 792 of the family's 1533-position model. The record is from RNAcentral.